This 638-nucleotide long non-coding RNA is filed under the name Homo sapiens (human). RNAcentral describes it as "long non-coding RNA NONHSAT191388.1". Lineage: Eukaryota; Metazoa; Chordata; Mammalia; Primates; Hominidae. The record is from RNAcentral.
AAACAGCUCUGUGUCUGGAAUGAGCCCUCCUAGAAUUCAGUACCAUAAAACUGAAGACAUGUAAAUCUGCUCAUGUAAAUCCUCCACUGCAUAGCCUUUUGUGUGGAGCAUUUAUCCGGACUGAUGGCAAAAACGCAAACCAAAAUCAUGGUAUUCUGAAGACCAGAGAUAGGGACUGAUAUCAUAUGGAAAUGCCAGCUCAGAAGAUGUGGUGAGCUUUGAUAAUUCAGGAAUUGACUGACAGAAGGAGGACCUCAUUUGGGCAGAACUUCACAAACCCUAAGGAUUCAUCUCUGGACAAUGAGCAAAUCUUCACUGGCUUCACUUUAGCUCAGCACCUAAUGCAGUGUUUGGUUCUGAAAAGCCUCCUUUGUGUGUGAGGAACUGUUCUGAAAUCUCCCGACAAGAAGAAUGGCUCCCAAAACCCAGUUGUGUCUCUGGGUGUGUAAGCCCAGCAGCAGGCAGUGUGUCAUCGCUGUGUCAGUUCUAUGGUGUGAUGUGCGGAACUGGUACUGGAAUGUAGACAUCAAGGCUGGUUCUUCGGCUCUCCCAAAGGCCAAAGAUAUCUAUUUAAAUAUCAUUUAAAUAAACCCCUUUAUUGCUUAAAUCAUGGUGUUAUUUAACCACACUGUGUCAAG